UAACUGAACCUUAACAGGAUAUCUAACACUUGUAACUGUUUUCAUUCAAAACCAACCUUUGUUAAAUCAAUAGUCCAUUGAAAAGUCAAUUCAUCUGUGAUAAUUAACAUAAAAUAACUUCUCAUAGCACAACAAUCCUUAGAUAACUAGUUAGCACAUUGCAACUAGUAAUAAAUUCAUCCAUACUAAUGAUAAUAAUUUCAAAUUGUGGUUCAUAUCUGCAGCUUAAAGACACCAGCUAGAACUAACUAUUCCAACUAUGAAAAUCCAAUAUAACCAUUUGAACUAACUCAUGUUGAAUUCCAUUUCACACUAACAUAAUUUCAACAUCUUCUAACUAACAGAACUAACAUCUCAAUCCAACCUAAUAUAAUAUUCAAUAAUAUAAUAACUAACUCCAUCCAAUUUUUCAACUGACUGAAUUAACUACGUUAACUGUUUGUUAACUUUGUCAAAUCCAUAACUGAAUCUAACUGACGUAACAGUCCUCCCAAUCAACUAACUUCACUUCAAUCUAAACCAACUAACUUCACUUCAAUCUAAACCAACUAACUUUAACAUAGCCUUAACAAAUUGUUAACUCUAUUAAUCCUUUUAACUAACCUACAACCAGUUACUCAAUUCAUGUCUAUAAGUAAUCAUCAUCCCAAUCAUUGAAGAGGACCCAAUCAUUGACACACGAAUCAGAUAAGUUCUCAAAACUCUCUUUCACUCUCCCUCAAUUGUCUCUCAAUCUCUGAAAUUUUCCCUUUCACUUUCACCCUCACCUAAAGCUCGAUAGAACAACCAUUAAAGCUUCACCUUGAAGCUUCAAACGUGCGUGAGCUAAGCCUCUCAAUCUCUCUGCUCUAUCACAUUUUCUCUCAUGGAAGCAAAUCUCAGCAAUCUCACGCAUCAUAAACGUAGCAACCACAUAAGGAUUAGAAGAAGAUUCUAUUAAGGAGCUCAGAGUCAUAAUUCUUACCUUAUUUUGAAGCGCCUCUAGAUUUCUUAUCAUCCUCAUCUUCAAAUUUCUCAAUCUUGACCGGAGCAAUUCACCACUCUGAAGUUGGUGCACCUCUUUCAAACUCACUUGCUUUAUCAUAUUUCUUGUUACCAGAUGAUAGAAUUGAUGUAGAGGAACGUUAGCCCCAAGUUCUAAGGUUGAAACCAAUUGUAAUUCAUGUUUAAUUGGGGACCUGGAAUUUAGGGUUCAUAUGAGUUGAUUCUCUGAUUGGAAGUGUUAAGAAGGAAUUAAUAGAGGUUAACGUGAGAACGAAAGAAAGGGAACAAGGAUGAUUCCAUUGAUGCGAGGUUGAGGUCUAUUGAUAUGAGUUGAUUCUCUGAUUGGAAGUGUUAAGAAGGAAUUAAUAGAGGUUAACGUGAGAACGAAAGAAAGGGAACAAGGAUGAUUCCAUUGAUGCGAGGUUGAGGUCUAUUGAAGCUCAGCCGCCACUGGAGGCGAUUUCCAAUGCGGUGGAGGGAAGACUGAAAAUCAUUUUUUAGUUGGAAUAAGGGGAUGUGGAAGUGAG
Molecule: long non-coding RNA, 1511 nt
Filed under: Lathyrus oleraceus (garden pea)
Lineage: Eukaryota; Viridiplantae; Streptophyta; Magnoliopsida; Fabales; Fabaceae
Description: Pisum sativum (pea) long non-coding RNA (PSAT_LNC002022)
Source: RNAcentral